AGUGAACGCUGGCGGCGUGCUUAACACAUGCAAGUCGAACGAGAACGGAUUAUAGCUUGCUAUAAUUGUCAGCUAUGUGGCGCACGGGUGAGUAAUGUAUAGGUAAUAUGCCUCUUACUAAGGGAUAACAAAUGGAAACGUUUGCUAAUACCUUAUACUCCUUAUUAACAUAAGUUAAUAAGGGAAAGAUUUAUUGGUAAGAGAUUAGCCUGUAUUGUAUCAGUUAGUUGGUGGGGUAAUGGCUUACCAAGACUAUGACACAUGACCGGUUUGAGAGGAUGAUCAGUCACACUGGAACUGAGACACGGUCCAGACUCCUACGGGAGGCAGCAGUGGGGAAUAUUGCACAAUGGACGAAAGUCUGAUGCAGCAACGCCGCGUGGAGGAUGACACAUUUCGGUGCGUAAACUCCUUUUAUAUGAGAAGAUAAUGACGGUAUUAUAUGAAUAAGCACCGGCUAACUCCGUGCCAGCAGCCGCGGUAA
Molecule: ribosomal RNA, 484 nt
Filed under: uncultured bacterium
Lineage: Bacteria
Description: partial 16S ribosomal RNA
Rfam family: Bacterial small subunit ribosomal RNA
Source: RNAcentral